Molecule: ribosomal RNA, 460 nt
Filed under: uncultured bacterium
Lineage: Bacteria
Description: partial 16S ribosomal RNA
Rfam family: Bacterial small subunit ribosomal RNA
Source: RNAcentral
CCUACGGGAGGCAGCAGUGAGGAAUAUUGGUCAAUGGGCGUGAGCCUGAACCAGCCAAGUCGCGUGAGGGAAGACGGUCCUAUGGAUCGUAAACCUCUUUUGUCAGGGAACAAAGUGCGGUACGUGUACCGUUUCGUGUGUACCUUAUGAAUAAGCAUCGGCUAACUCCGUGCCAGCAGCCGCGGUAAUACGGAGGAUUCGAGUGUUAUCCGGAUUUAUUGGGUUUAAAGGGUGCGCAGGCGGCCUAUUAAGUCAGCGGUGAAAGUUUCGGGCUCAACCCCAGACGAGCCGUUGAAACUGGGAGGCUAGAGUGGGUGAGAAGCAGGCGGAAUGCGUGGUGUAGCGGUGAAAUGCAUAGAUAUCACGCAGAACCCCGAUUGCGAAGGCAGCAUGCCGGGGCAUGACUGACGCUGAGGCACGAAAGCGUGGGGAUCGAACAGGAUUAGAUACCCGAGUAGUC